Molecule: non-coding RNA, 668 nt
Organism: Synchiropus splendidus (mandarinfish)
Lineage: Eukaryota; Metazoa; Chordata; Actinopteri; Syngnathiformes; Callionymidae
Source: the annotation of a RefSeq genome assembly
UGAAACUCAUGCGACAGAGAGCAAUCAUGAUCUUCUGCUGGUUCAUCUGCAUAGUUGGUUUUCAUGGAGUCUGGUCUGAGAUCAGACUGGACCAGAGUUCCUCUGAGGUGAAGAGACCUGGAGACACAGUCAAACUCUCCUGUGUCACCUCGGGGUAUAAUAUGUCAGCCUACGAUCAUCACUGGGUGAGACAAAAGCCGGGAGAAAGUCUGGAGUGGAUUGGGUGGAUUCAUCCUUCAAAACUCACAACAAAAUAUGCCAGCACCUUUGAGGGUCGCUUCAUUAUGACUCCAGACGUCCCGAGCAGCACUCUGUAUCUGCAGCUCAACCGUCUGACCACAGAAGACUCUGCAGUUUAUUUCUACGCCAUAAAGGCACCGACUGUUUUUCCCGUUCUGCCAUGCGACAGUGGCAACGGGGACAUUACCCUGACCUGCCUGGCCACUGGCUUUACUCCGUCCUCACUGACCUUUGCAUGGACCAAAGGAGACACGGCCAUUACAGACAUCAUCCAGUAUCUGACCAUCCAGAACCGCAAUGAUUUUACUGGGAUCAGUCAAGUGAAAGUACGCAGACCGGACUGGGACAGCAAAGAGUAUUUUUACUGCAAAACAACCCACAAUGAAAAAAAAGGAAUGACUUUUUUCCAAAAACAAGGUGAUUUUUGA